AUUCCUGCUUUCCCGCUCAAAUGUUGCAUUUUCUAAGACCUCCCUGGCCCGCCAUACGCCGAUCCUGAACCUACGAAAACCCAAGACUGCGGGCACGGUGGCUCAUGCCUGUAAUCCCAGCACUUUGGGAGGCCGAGGCGGGCAGAUCACGAGGUCAAGAAGUCGAGACCAGCCUUGCUAACAUGGCGAAACCCUGACUCUACUGAAAAUACAAAAAUUAGCUGGGCGUGAUGGCGUGCGCGCCUGUAGUCCCAGCUGCUCGGGAGGCUGAGGUAGGAGAAUCGCUUCAAUCCGGGAGGUGGAGGUUGCGGUAAGCAGAGAUUGCGCCACUGCACUCUAGCCUGGCGACAGAGACUCCUUCAAAAACAACAACAACAACAACAACAACAACAAAACAAAACCUCCCAAGACCCUAGUGGGCAGACACACAGCCAGCCAGACAUGGAGAGGAGCACAUUAGCAGAAGAAGACGCAAGUGGCUGGUCCUCGAGAGGACGUUGAGAGGAGCAUGCCAGCAGAAGAGCACACAACGACAGGCACCGACACACCACCGGCAGGCCAUGCACCAGCAGAAUGAUGCGGAGUUUGACGGGGCAGUCAGAGAAGAGCCUGGGCCGCCAAGGGGCCCGACUCCAGGGGAAAACCAUCUCCCUUCUGGCUCCCCCAUCUGCUGAGAGCUACUUCUACUCAAUAAAACCUUGCACUCAUUCUCCAAGCCCACGUGUAAUCCGAUUCUUCAGGCUGUGUCCUUUGCCUGGAAUGCUCUCUCUUGCUGGCUGGCUUCUUCCCACCAGCUGUGGCCAGGGCUGCUCCUUAUUCCUUCGUCAAAACUCCGUCUGCUGGGUGUGGUGCCUCACACCUGUAAUCCCAGCACUUUGAGAGGCCAAGGUGGGAGUAUCGUUUGAGCCCAGGAGUUCAAGACAAGCCUGGACAACAGAGCAAGACCCUGUCUCUACCAAAGAAAAGAAAAGAAAAGAAAAGAAACAGCCACUUUCUCUUCCAUGAGCCAGUUUAUGUUUUCUUCACGGCAUUUGUUACAAAUCACAAAUGUGGAGGAAAAAUGAAGGCAAAGCAAAAUAACAGGCAAGUCUGAAAACAAAAGUGUUGCCAGUCACGCUAAGCCUCAGGCACGCAUUCUGAAUGAAGCUAAAGUUUAAAGUCCCCUCUGAUAGAUUUGUGACUUAAAUGUCCACACUAGCAAGUGUGUUUCUCACAUGGAGAAGUAGCACGAUUUUAUGUCAGGAAAGGGAUGAGAACAUGCUUCUUGAACACAUACAAUGCUGAAGACAUUUCCUGGAAAACCAUUGGCCUUUGCUUAGGACAGUUGCAUCACACAGAGAUGUUUGUGGUUCAGAUUUAUAAGAAACAUGGGAACUGAAGCCAAAGCACUACUUUUGCUCAGUAUAACCAGGUGCCAGAUCUAAAGUGUUAGGCAGGUUCCUAUAUGUAUGUUAGAAAAAAGUUGCCCAAGUUUUGGACAAUUCCUUUUCCAUCUCUCUUACAAGUCAACAAAUCGAAGCAAUAAACUAUUCUCUGAAGAAAACAAAUUUAUUUGGUUGAUUCAAACUUUUAAUGAGACUAUUACUCCCCUGUGUGCCUUUCCUUUCUCUGGUUCUAGAAAUACAUCUAGAAAGGGGGAAAAUGUUAAUAUAUUUUCUACUGACUUUAUAUCACAAAUGCUUAGCUUAGAGGGUGGACUCUGAGGAACAGUGUCCUUUCCAAAUAUUAUAAAACUUUGUGUUCAUUCUGGAAAAACAAACAAAAUUAAUCACAAUGAUUUCCUGCUUUGGAGCAAUGAGAAAUGGGAGGGAAACUUCACCUUUUCAUAGCUUUUGAUGUUUGCACCAUGUGAAUUACCCACCCCCAAAUUUAAAAUACGAAUUUUUGAAAAAGUGUUUACCUCUGAGAAGAGAAACUAGUAGUGAAGAAUGAGGAGCUGUAGAUUUUUAACGAUUCUGAUGUAUUUGCAUUUUUCCCAAUGUUCAUGAAUAAAUAAAUGUGCAUUCAUAAUUAAAAAGAAUAAACAACCUGGAAAAAACAAAAAAAGCUCUGCGUUCACUGAUCUCUAAAUAAGAAAAGAUAAGACUUGUAGUGUGGCCUUGUACUUGUACAUCUUUUCCAUGUGCCAAAGAGCUACCCCAUGGUCAAGCCAAGUGGUGAUUAUGUAGCUUUCUCUGAACAGACAUAAUAGGGCUACACAUUCACUGUGAAAAAGCUGCAGACAGAUGACACCAGUCAACAGAACACCCUACACAGAAACUGUAAAACCAUUUUAAC
RNAcentral lists this long non-coding RNA (2277 nucleotides) under Homo sapiens (human). RNAcentral's name for it is "non-protein coding lnc-XKR9-1:6". Lineage: Eukaryota; Metazoa; Chordata; Mammalia; Primates; Hominidae. The record is from RNAcentral.